CGUAACAAGGUUUCCGUAGUCAUAUGCUUGUCUCAAAGAUUAAGCCAUGCAUGUCUAAGUAUAAGCAAUAUUAUACAGUGAAACUGCGAAUGGCUCAUUAAAUCAGUUAUCGUUUAUUUGAUAGUUCCUUUACUACAUGGUAUAACUGUGGUAAUUCUAGAGCUAAUACAUGCUUAAAAUCUCGACCUUUUGGAAGAGAUGUAUUUAUUAGAUAAAAAAUCAACGUCUUCGUAAUAACUUUUCGAAUCGCAUGGCCUUGUGCUUUCUGGGGGGAGUAUGGGGCGAUGGUUCAUUCAAAUUUCUGCCCUAACAACUUUCGAUGGUAGGAUAGUGGCCUACCAUGGUUUCAACGGGUAACGGGGAAUAAGGGUUCGAUUCCGGAGAGGGAGCCUGAGAAACGGAUCCAAGGAAGGCGGGUCUCAGCAGGCGCGCAAAUUACCCAAUCCUAAUACAGGGAGGUAGUGCCAAUAAAUAACGAUACAGGGCCCUUAUGUAAUUCUACCACGGAAUGAGUACAAUGUAAAUACCUUAACGAGGAACAAUUGGAGGGCAAGUCUGGUGCCAGCAGCCGCGGUAAUUCCAGCUCCAAUAGCGUAUAUUAAAGUUGUUGCAGUUAAAAAGCUCGUAGUUGAACUUUGGGCCUGGUCGGCCGGUCCGGAUCUUUCCGUGUACUGGUUUAAAAUAGGACUUAAUUCGACCGCUGGCUAGCCCUGGGUCCUUGUGGCCCUUGGUGAACCAGGACUUUUACUUUGAAAAAAUUAGAGUGUUCAAAGCAGGCGUUUCGCUCGAAUAUAUUAGCAUGGAAUAAGUUUGGUUCUAUUUUGUUGGUCCGGUCCGGAUUUCUAGGACCAUCGUAAUGAUUAAAAGGGACGGUCGGGGGCAUCAGUAUUCAGUUGUCAGAGGUGAAAUUCUUGGAUUUACUGAAGACUAACUACGCCAAGGACGUAUUCAUUAAUCAAGAACGAAAGUGGGUGGUGGUGGUUAGGGGAUCGAAGAUGAUCAGAUACCGUCGUAGUCUUAACCAUAAACUAUGCCGACUAGGGAUCGGGUGGUGUACACUUACUGACCCACUCGGCACCUUACGAGAAAUGACUCCUUGAUGAUUCACAAAGUCUUUGGGUCGCAAGGCUGAAACUUAAAGGAAUUGACGGAAGGGCACCACCAGGAGUGGAGCCUGCGGCUUAAUUUGACUCAACAGCCGAUGGAAGUUUGAGGCAAUAACAGGCGGGGAAACUCACCAGUUGAGAGCUCUUUCUUGAUUCAUGGCCGUUCUUAGUUGGUGGCGUGAUGCGAACGCAUUCCCUGUCUGCUUAAUUGCGAUAACGAACGAGACCUUAACCUACUAAAUAGUGGUGCUAGCAUUUGCUGGAAUUUCCACUUCUUAGAGGGACUAUCGGUUUCAAUCUGUGAUGCCCUUAGACGUUCUGGGCCGCACGCGCGCUGUCCAGACACAAUAAGGAUUGACAGAUUACACUGACGGAGCCAGCGAGUCUAACCUUGGCCGAGAGGUCUGGGUAAUCUUGUGAAACUCCGUCGUGCUGGGGAUAGAGCAUUGUAAUUAUUGCUCUUCAACGAGGAAUUCCUAGUAAGCGCAAGUCAUCAACUUGCGUUGAUUACGUCCCUGCCCUUUGUACACACCGCCCGUCGCUAGUACCGAUUGAAUGGCUUAGUGAGGCCUCAGGAUCUGUUUAGAGAAGGGGGCAACUCCAUCUCAGAGCGGAGAAUCUGGUCAAACUUGGUCAUUUAGAGGAACUAAAAGUCUAUACCUGUGGUAAUU
This 1777-nucleotide ribosomal RNA is filed under the name Zygosaccharomyces bailii. RNAcentral's name for it is "SSU rRNA". It matches the Rfam family "Eukaryotic small subunit ribosomal RNA". The record is from RNAcentral. Lineage: Eukaryota; Fungi; Ascomycota; Saccharomycetes; Saccharomycetales; Saccharomycetaceae.